RNAcentral lists this ribosomal RNA (174 nucleotides) under Triticum aestivum (bread wheat). RNAcentral's name for it is "partial small subunit ribosomal RNA". The record is from RNAcentral. Lineage: Eukaryota; Viridiplantae; Streptophyta; Magnoliopsida; Poales; Poaceae.
AUCGCCUCCUUGUUCAUGCUUAUGUCUUGGGAGAUUUGGAAAGAGCAUAACGCAAGAGUCUUUCGCAACACUGCCGCUACAACGAUGAUGGUCAUCGAGAAGAUCAAAGAGGAUGCCCAUCUUUGGGCUAUGGCAGGUGCCACCCACUUGAGUAUUGUAAUACCGCGAGAGUAG